This 496-nucleotide ribosomal RNA is filed under the name uncultured bacterium. RNAcentral's name for it is "partial 16S ribosomal RNA". It matches the Rfam family "Bacterial small subunit ribosomal RNA", at positions 30 to 523 of the family's 1533-position model. The record is from RNAcentral.
AUUGAACGCUGGCGGAAUGCUUUACACAUGCAAGUCGAACGGUAGAGGGGGCAACCCCUUGAGAGUGGCGAACGGGUGAGUAAUGUAUCGGAACGUGCCCAGUCGUGGGGGAUAACGUAGUGAAAAUUACGCUAAUACCGCAUACGAUCUAUGGAUGAAAGCGGGGGAUCGCAAGACCUCGCGCGAUUGGAGCGGCCGAUAUCAGAUUAGGUAGUUGGUGGGGUAAAGGCUCACCAAGCCAACGAUCUGUAGCUGGUCUGAGAGGACGACCAGCCACACUGGAACCGAGACACGGUCCAGACUCCUACGGGAGGCAGCAGUGGGUAAUUUUGGACAAUGGACGCAAGUCUGAUCCAGCCAUUCCGCGUGCAGGACGAAGGCCUUCGGGUUGUAAACUGCUUUUGUACGGAACGAAAAAGCUCUUAUUAAUACUAGGAGUCCAUGACGGUACCGUAAGAAUAAGCACCGGCUAACUACGUGCCAGCCGCCGCAGUAA